This 439-nucleotide ribosomal RNA is filed under the name uncultured bacterium. RNAcentral's name for it is "partial 16S ribosomal RNA". It matches the Rfam family "Bacterial small subunit ribosomal RNA", at positions 339 to 795 of the family's 1533-position model. The record is from RNAcentral.
CUACGGGGUGCUCCAGUGAGGAAUAUUGCACAAUGGGGGGAACCCUGAUGCAGCAACGCCGCGUGGAGGAUGACGCAUUUCGGUGUGUAAACUCCUUUUAUAUGUCAAGAAAAUGACGGUAGCAUAUGAAUAAGCACCGGCUAACUCCGUGCCAGCAGCCGCGGUAAUACGGAGGGUGCAAGCGUUACUCGGAAUCACUGGGCGUAAAGGACGCGUAGGCGGGUUGGAAAGUCAGGUGUGAAAUCCUACAGCUUAACUUUAGAACUGCACUUGAAACUUCUAAUCUAGAGUAUGGGAGGGGGAGAUGGAAUUAGUGGUGUAGGGGUAAAAUCCGUAGAUAUCACUAGGAACACCUAAAGCGAAGGCGAUCUCCUGGAACAUUACUGACGCUAAGGCGUGAAAGCGUGGGGAGCAAACAGGAUUAGAUACCCCGGUAGUC